GGGUCAGUAGGUUGGUCGUGCCACCGGUACGUACUGGUCUCACUGAUUCCUCCUUCCUGAAGAACCGUAAUGCCAUUAAUUUGGUGUUGCGGGGAGACAGGACUGUUACUUUGAAAAAGUUAGAGUGUUUAAAGCAAGCUAACGCUUGAAUACAUUAGCAUGGAAUAAUGAAAUAGGACGAUCGAUCCUAUUUUGUUGGUUUCUAGGAUUGACGUA
RNAcentral lists this ribosomal RNA (216 nucleotides) under Glomeromycotina sp. RNAcentral describes it as "partial small subunit ribosomal RNA". The stretch from base 40 to 216 matches the Rfam family "Eukaryotic small subunit ribosomal RNA", at positions 686 to 864 of the family's 1831-position model. Lineage: Eukaryota; Fungi; Glomeromycota. The record is from RNAcentral.